Molecule: long non-coding RNA, 608 nt
Organism: Teleopsis dalmanni
Lineage: Eukaryota; Metazoa; Arthropoda; Insecta; Diptera; Diopsidae
Exons: 4
Source: RefSeq, a predicted model, not a curated record
AUUGAAAUAACCUAAAUUCAAAAAAUAUGGAUCCGCACUUAAACAAACAUAAUGCUGGACCCACACCAAUAAUUCUUUAUUUAAUAUUUGUAUUUUUCGCAUCGCUGUUCAUUGGCUUGCAGUUCUUUCACUACCGUAAAAUGCAAAGUGAGAGACAAAAUUCAGUCGAUCAACAUCCUCCAAAUUGUGAUGUCUGAUUAAAUUCUCAGCCCACUAAAUAAGAGAGUCCCUUAAAACAUAUAAGAAAGUGCUAAUGGACAUGUUCGAUAUAUAAUAGAUGAUCCCUCCAAUUAUGCAUUCCAUAUCUAUUAAAUUCGAAACGGAUAUUUUCAGUGCUUGGAUUUCUUUUUGGUAUACUGUUUUCUUUGUUUUGGAUUUAAGAUUUUAAAGGACACUGACUCAAGUUGUUACUUUAUCGUUGUUAAUGAACUAUGAAACUUUUCGUGUGCGAUAUGAGACCCGCUUCUUUAGCUAAUAUUAUAAAUAUCGACUUUCAAAUAAUGGACUAUUCAAAAUAUGGACUUUUCCUAAUGGACAAUUUCAUGCCCUUUUCCUAAUAGUGGGAAUUAAUCAAAAUUAAUUACAAAAAUUAGAUAUUGUGUAUUCGU